Molecule: ribosomal RNA, 333 nt
Filed under: uncultured bacterium
Lineage: Bacteria
Description: bacterial SSU rRNA
Rfam family: Bacterial small subunit ribosomal RNA
Source: RNAcentral
GACGAACGCUUGCGACGUGCCUAAGAAAUGCAAGUCGAGCGAGGUAGCAAUACCUAGCGGCGAACGGUCGCGUAACACGUAAGCAACCUGCCCCAAAGACCGGGACAACGUUCCGAAAGGAGCGCUAAUACCGGAUGUGCCCACCCUGUGACAUCACUAGGUGAGUAAAUCGAGCAAUCGGCUUUGGGAGGGGCUUGCGGCCUAUCAGCUAGAUGGUGGGGUAACGGCCUACCANGGCGACGACGGGUAGCUGGUCUGAGAGGAUGGUCAGCCGGAUUGGGACUGAGAUACGGCCCAGACUCCUACGGGGGGCAGCAAUUAGGAAUCUUGCGC